This 1229-nucleotide long non-coding RNA is filed under the name Lynx pardinus (Iberian lynx). The record is from RNAcentral. Lineage: Eukaryota; Metazoa; Chordata; Mammalia; Carnivora; Felidae.
GCGAGCCCACAGGAGAGAGAAGGGGAAGGAAUUUGAUGGGCCUGAAAAGUGGUUCUUGGGGAGAGUUGGAGGCGCUGCAAAACAUCCCCGCCCCGCCCCACCCCUCCCUUUUCUUUCUCUCCUCUUCUCUCACCUCUUGACUUCCCACCAGGCCAGGCAAGGAGACAAAGGAUGUAGGAGGGUGGCAUGCAGGGGCCUGCCUUUGACGCUGUGGAGUUGAACGCCAUGCUACUGACAAUGAAAUCUAAACAUUUACCCAGAGCCCUGGGCUAGAAAUGUGCCAACCUGACCCUGAAAAACAAACCACCUGUGUCGCUGCCACACCUGCUUCAGGCCGAGCUGCCCCGGGUGCCAGGGGAAUGGGGUUCUACAGCCUUCCUCCACUCUUCCGUUUAAUAACUGGGCAGAACUGCAGACAGAAGCCCAAAGAUUUCUGAGACCUGCACUCAGAAAUGUGGAUGCUUUGUCCCUUUUCGGAGGGUGGGAAGGAUAUGAAGGCACAGGAUACCUAAGGGCUUUAUGAUGAUGAAGCCAAACACACACAGGCACGCACACACAUACACACACUUGUUUUCUUCUCCGGGAACUUGGCUGCUACUUGCAGGAAACUUUGUGCAUAUAAUAGCAGAGGCUACAGCGUGAUUUUCAGUUCUCUUUGGUUAACUCUCUCCCAUCCUCGUCCAAUGUGCUGCAAAGGAAAGGUUUUGUACAUUAAAUACGAACUUUAUGAUGUAUUUGACACCACGAUGUCCCCUUAAAGCCUCCUGAACAGAUGAUCCACACUGGGGGAAUGGGUGAGAAAUCCGGUGUGUUAGGUCUUUAACGUGGUCAGUAUAGAUUUUCUUCUUCCUGUGAAAAUCAAUGUUUUCUCAGUCCCCCUGGUAAGAAGCCUAGUAUAAUGAACUGUUUUUGCUUUUAGAAUAAUCAUUUUUAUGGUACUCUUAACUUUUGUAGUGUUCCCACAUCUAUUAUUUCAUCAGAUCCUUACAACAGCCCCCAGAAUCACACAGGGGAAAUUAUGUCUCUAAUGAAUUUGUCAGAUGGAGAUACAAACAUAGGAGAGAUUAGAUGACUAUAAUUGCGGAGAUAUUGGGGCUUAAAACUGGGUGUAAAAGGAAUUAUUGAGGUAUGUAUUACUAUUAUUACCAAGAUAUCAAAUCUGCUUAUAUUUAUAUGAGUCUAGAUACUAAAGACAAUUUCUGUAAGCUACAUAUUACAUAUAAACUAUA